CGUGGGCAGGUCCGAGAUCAUUUCUCCCRAGUGAGGUAGGGCUGUGGAUAUUUCUCUUACAUUCGCCUCGURAGGGACUAACGGUCGAGUUCCUCCAGUUCCUUGGGCCGCUGAGUUCGCUCCCUUAUCCMACAGGAAACCCGAAUGUUAAGCCGCAUUUCRGSCACCUAUGCGUGGGCCAYCUCCUGCACCGCCAAGCCUUUCCAAGGCCUCUCCAGAUCGCGGUAAAGCUCGUCCGCGGGUCUUUCACAGGUGGCGGGCUUGUUUCUACGAUAUGGCAGUUCUMCCACCUGCACUUUCAUGCCGAAAAGCUACCUGAGCGCAGACUACAUACUUGUCCCCGCUAGAAGGCAGAGUCGUCACCAGGUUUGGAAGUAAAAGUCGUAACAAGGUUUCCGUAGGUGAACCUGCGGAAGGAUCAUUAAAGAGUAAGGGUGCUCAGCGCCCGACCUCCAACCCUUUGUUGUUAAAACUACCUUGUUGCUUUGGCGGGACCGCUCGGUUCCGAGCCGCUGGGGAUUCGUCCCAGGCGAGUGCCCGCCAGAGUUAAACCAAACUCUUGUUAUCAAACCGGUCGUCUGAGUUAAAAUUUUGAAUAAAUCAAAACUUUCAACAACGGAUCUCUUGGUUCUCGCAUCGAUGAAGAACGCAGCGAAAUGCGAUAAGUAAUGUGAAUUGCAGAAUUCAGUGAAUCAUCGAAUCUUUGAACGCACAUUGCGCCCCUUGGUAUUCCGAGGGGCAUGCCUGUUCGAGCGUCAUUACACCACUCAAGCUAUGCUUGGUAUUGGGUGCCGUCCUUAGUUGGGCGCGCCUUAAAGACCUCGGCGAGGCCACUCCGGCUUUAGGCGUAGUAGAAUUUAUUCGAACCCCUCUCAAAGGUGAGUAUCUGUGUGGGCGCCUCGUGUGAAGUAAAAGAUGGAAUCAAAGAKCAGACAACUUACAGGUAGG
Molecule: ribosomal RNA, 948 nt
Filed under: Zea mays
Lineage: Eukaryota; Viridiplantae; Streptophyta; Magnoliopsida; Poales; Poaceae
Description: eukaryotic LSU rRNA
Rfam family: 5.8S ribosomal RNA (bases 605-758)
Source: RNAcentral